AACCAUGCCCUUCGGGGCUCCUUGGUGAUUCAUAAUAACUUAACGAAUCGCAUGGCCUUGCGCCGGCGAUGGUUCAUUCAAAUUUCUGCCCUAUCAACUUUCGAUGGUACAGUAGUGGUCUACCAUGGUUUUAACGGGUAACGGGGAAUUAGGGUUCUAUUCCGGAGAGGGAGCCUGAGAAACGGCUACCACAUCCAAGGAAGGCAGCAGGCGCGCAAAUUACCCAAUCCCAAUUCGGGGAGGUAGUGACAAUAAAUACUGAUACAGGGCUCUUUCGGGUCUUGUAAUUGGAAUGAGAACAAUUUAAAUCCCUUAACGAGGAACAAUUGGAGGGCAAGUCUGGUGCCAGCAGCCGCGGUAAUUCCAGCUCCAAUAGCGUAUAUUAAAGUUGUUGCAGUUAAAAAGCUCGUAGUUGAACCUUGGGCCUGACCGAUCUGUCCUCCUAAUCGAGCGCACGGAUUCGGUUGGGUCUUUCCUUCUGGGGAGCCCUAUGCCCUUCACUGGGCGUAGUGGGGAACCAGGACUUUUAC
Molecule: ribosomal RNA, 530 nt
Filed under: ascomycete from Cephaloziella exiliflora rhizoid
Lineage: Eukaryota; Fungi; Ascomycota
Description: SSU rRNA
Rfam family: Eukaryotic small subunit ribosomal RNA
Source: RNAcentral